GAGUUUGAUCGUGGCUCAGAUUGAACGCUGGCGGCAUGCCUUACACAUGCAAGUCGAACGGCAGCACGGGAGCUUGCUCCUGGUGGCGAGUGGCGAACGGGUGAGUAAUGCAUCGGAACGUAUCCUGGAGUGGGGGAUAACGUAGCGAAAGUUACGCUAAUACCGCAUAUUCUGUGAGCAGGAAAGCGGGGGGACCUUCGGGCCUCGCGCUCUUGGAGCGGCCGAUGUCGGAUUAGCUAGUUGGUGAGGUAAAGGCUCACCAAGGCGACGAUCCGUAGCAGGUCUGAGAGGAUGAUCUGCCACACUGGAACUGAGACACGGUCCAGACUCCUACGGGAGGCAGCAGUGGGGAAUUUUGGACAAUGGGGGCAACCCUGAUCCAGCCAUGCCGCGUGAGUGAAGAAGGCCUCGGUU
RNAcentral lists this ribosomal RNA (414 nucleotides) under bacterium enrichment culture clone ALO1_GLFRUDD03FN3PO. RNAcentral's name for it is "bacterial SSU rRNA". It matches the Rfam family "Bacterial small subunit ribosomal RNA", at positions 9 to 424 of the family's 1533-position model. The record is from RNAcentral.